GUACGGCGAGUGACCGGGAAGAGCUCAAAUUUGAAAUCUGGCGUGCUCAGUGCGUCCGAGUUGUAAUCUAUAGAGUCGUUUUCCGUGCCGGACUGUGUCCAAGUCCCUUGGAACAGGGUAUCAAAGAGGGUGAUAAUCCCGUACUUGACACAAUGACCGGUGCUCUGUGAUACGUCUUCUACGAGUCGAGUUGUUUGGGAAUGCAGCUCAAAAUGGGUGGUGAGUUCCAUCUAAAGCUAAAUAUUGGCGAGAGACCGAUAGCGAACAAGUACCGUGAGGGAAAGAUGAAAAGCACUUUGGAAAGAGAGUUAAACAGUACGUGAAAUUGUUAAAAGGGAAACGAUUGAAGUCAGUCGUGACUGAGAGGCUCAGCCGGUUCUGCCGGUGUAUUCCCCUCAGUCGGGUCAACAUCAGUUUUGUUCGGUGGAUAAGGGCAGUUGGAAGGUGGCACCCUCGGGUGUGUUAUAGCCAGCUGUCGCAUACAUCGGAUGAGACUGAGGAAUGCAGCUCGCCUUUAUGGCCGGGGUUCGCCCACGUUCGAGCU
RNAcentral lists this ribosomal RNA (544 nucleotides) under Papiliotrema flavescens. RNAcentral describes it as "eukaryotic LSU rRNA". It matches the Rfam family "Eukaryotic large subunit ribosomal RNA", at positions 83 to 608 of the family's 3401-position model. The record is from RNAcentral. Lineage: Eukaryota; Fungi; Basidiomycota; Tremellomycetes; Tremellales; Rhynchogastremaceae.